This 2902-nucleotide ribosomal RNA is filed under the name Klebsiella pneumoniae. RNAcentral describes it as "23S ribosomal RNA". It matches the Rfam family "Bacterial large subunit ribosomal RNA". The record is from RNAcentral. Lineage: Bacteria; Pseudomonadati; Pseudomonadota; Gammaproteobacteria; Enterobacterales; Enterobacteriaceae.
GGUUAAGCGACUAAGCGUACACGGUGGAUGCCCUGGCAGUCAGAGGCGAUGAAGGACGUGCUAAUCUGCGAAAAGCGUCGGUAAGGUGAUAUGAACCGUUAUAACCGGCGAUGUCCGAAUGGGGAAACCCAGUGUGAUUCGUCACACUAUCGUUAACUGAAUACAUAGGUUAACGAGGCGAACCGGGGGAACUGAAACAUCUAAGUACCCCGAGGAAAAGAAAUCAACCGAGAUUCCCCCAGUAGCGGCGAGCGAACGGGGAGCAGCCCAGAGUCUGAAUCAGCUUGUGUGUUAGUGGAACGGUCUGGAAAGUCCGACGGUACAGGGUGAUAGUCCCGUACACCAAAAUGCACAGGCUGUGAACUCGAAGAGUAGGGCGGGACACGUGGUAUCCUGUCUGAAUAUGGGGGGACCAUCCUCCAAGGCUAAAUACUCCUGACUGACCGAUAGUGAACCAGUACCGUGAGGGAAAGGCGAAAAGAACCCCGGCGAGGGGAGUGAAAAAGAACCUGAAACCGUGUACGUACAAGCAGUGGGAGCACCUUCGGGUGUGACUGCGUACCUUUUGUAUAAUGGGUCAGCGACUUAUAUUCUGUAGCAAGGUUAACCGUAUAGGGGAGCCGCAGGGAAACCGAGUCUUAACUGGGCGUUAAGUUGCAGGGUAUAGACCCGAAACCCGGUGAUCUAGCCAUGGGCAGGUUGAAGGUUGGGUAACACUAACUGGAGGACCGAACCGACUAAUGUUGAAAAAUUAGCGGAUGACUUGUGGCUGGGGGUGAAAGGCCAAUCAAACCGGGAGAUAGCUGGUUCUCCCCGAAAGCUAUUUAGGUAGCGCCUCGUGAAUUCAUCUUCGGGGGUAGAGCACUGUUUCGGCUAGGGGGUCAUCCCGACUUACCAACCCGAUGCAAACUACGAAUACCGAAGAAUGUUAUCACGGGAGACACACGGCGGGUGCUAACGUCCGUCGUGAAGAGGGAAACAACCCAGACCGCCAGCUAAGGUCCCAAAGUCAUGGUUAAGUGGGAAACGAUGUGGGAAGGCACAGACAGCCAGGAUGUUGGCUUAGAAGCAGCCAUCAUUUAAAGAAAGCGUAAUAGCUCACUGGUCGAGUCGGCCUGCGCGGAAGAUGUAACGGGGCUAAACCAUGCACCGAAGCUGCGGCAGCGACACUAUGUGUUGUUGGGUAGGGGAGCGUUCUGUAAGCCUGCGAAGGUGUGCUGUGAGGCAUGCUGGAGGUAUCAGAAGUGCGAAUGCUGACAUAAGUAACGAUAAAGCGGGUGAAAAGCCCGCUCGCCGGAAGACCAAGGGUUCCUGUCCAACGUUAAUCGGGGCAGGGUGAGUCGACCCCUAAGGCGAGGCCGAAAGGCGUAGUCGAUGGGAAACAGGUUAAUAUUCCUGUACUUGGUGUUACUGCGAAGGGGGGACGGAGAAGGCUAUGUUAGCCGGGCGACGGUUGUCCCGGUUUAAGCAUGUAGGCUGGUUGUCCAGGCAAAUCCGGAUAAUCAAGGCUGAGGUGUGAUGACGAGGCACUACGGUGCUGAAGUAACAAAUGCCCUGCUUCCAGGAAAAGCCUCUAAGCAUCAGGUAACAUUAAAUCGUACCCCAAACCGACACAGGUGGUCAGGUAGAGAAUACCAAGGCGCUUGAGAGAACUCGGGUGAAGGAACUAGGCAAAAUGGUGCCGUAACUUCGGGAGAAGGCACGCUGGUGUGUAGGUGAAGUCCCUGCGGAUGGAGCUGAGACCAGUCGAAGAUACCAGCUGGCUGCAACUGUUUAUUAAAAACACAGCACUGUGCAAACACGAAAGUGGACGUAUACGGUGUGACGCCUGCCCGGUGCCGGAAGGUUAAUUGAUGGGGUUAUCCGUAAGGAGAAGCUCUUGAUCGAAGCCCCGGUAAACGGCGGCCGUAACUAUAACGGUCCUAAGGUAGCGAAAUUCCUUGUCGGGUAAGUUCCGACCUGCACGAAUGGCGUAAUGAUGGCCAGGCUGUCUCCACCCGAGACUCAGUGAAAUUGAACUCGCUGUGAAGAUGCAGUGUACCCGCGGCAAGACGGAAAGACCCCGUGAACCUUUACUAUAGCUUGACACUGAACAUUGAGCCUUGAUGUGUAGGAUAGGUGGGAGGCUUUGAAGCGUGGACGCCAGUCUGCGUGGAGCCAACCUUGAAAUACCACCCUUUAAUGUUUGAUGUUCUAACGUUGGCCCCUGACCGGGGUUGCGGACAGUGUCUGGUGGGUAGUUUGACUGGGGCGGUCUCCUCCCAAAGCGUAACGGAGGAGCACGAAGGUUAGCUAAUCCUGGUCGGACAUCAGGAGGUUAGUGCAAUGGCAUAAGCUAGCUUGACUGCGAGCGUGACGGCGCGAGCAGGUGCGAAAGCAGGUCAUAGUGAUCCGGUGGUUCUGAAUGGAAGGGCCAUCGCUCAACGGAUAAAAGGUACUCCGGGGAUAACAGGCUGAUACCGCCCAAGAGUUCAUAUCGACGGCGGUGUUUGGCACCUCGAUGUCGGCUCAUCACAUCCUGGGGCUGAAGUAGGUCCCAAGGGUAUGGCUGUUCGCCAUUUAAAGUGGUACGCGAGCUGGGUUUAGAACGUCGUGAGACAGUUCGGUCCCUAUCUGCCGUGGGCGCUGGAGAAUUGAGGGGGGCUGCUCCUAGUACGAGAGGACCGGAGUGGACGCAUCACUGGUGUUCGGGUUGUCAUGCCAAUGGCACUGCCCGGUAGCUAAAUGCGGAAGAGAUAAGUGCUGAAAGCAUCUAAGCACGAAACUUGCCCCGAGAUGAGUUCUCCCUGAGACUUUAAGUCUCCUGAAGGAACGUUGAAGACGACGACGUUGAUAGGCCGGGUGUGUAAGCGCAGCGAUGCGUUGAGCUAACCGGUACUAAUGAACCGUGAGGCUUAACCUU